RNAcentral lists this ribosomal RNA (253 nucleotides) under uncultured bacterium. Its description in RNAcentral is "partial 16S ribosomal RNA". It matches the Rfam family "Bacterial small subunit ribosomal RNA", at positions 524 to 776 of the family's 1533-position model. The record is from RNAcentral.
UACGUAGGUGACGAGCGUUAUCCGGAUUUAUUGGGCGUAAAGCGCACGCAGGCGGCAGAGAAAGUCUGACGUGAAAUCUCCCGGCUUAACUGGGAGCGGUCGUUGGAAACUACUUGGCUUGAGGCGAUGAGAGGGGUGUGGAAUUCCGGGUGGAGCGGUGAAAUGCGUAGAGAUCCGGAGGAACACCGACGGCGAAGGCAGCGCCCUGGCCGACGACUGACGCUCAGGCACGAAAGCUGGGGGAGCAAACAGG